GGCAGGCAUGGUGGCUCAGACCUGUAGUCCCAGCUACUUGGGAGGCUGAGGUGGGAGGAUCACUUGAGCCCAGGAGACCACCCUGGGAACUCAGUGAGACCCUGUCUCAA
Molecule: small RNA, 110 nt
Filed under: Marmota monax (woodchuck)
Lineage: Eukaryota; Metazoa; Chordata; Mammalia; Rodentia; Sciuridae
Source: RNAcentral